UACGGGGGGGGGCAAGCGUUGUUCGGAAUUACUGGGCGUAAAGGGCUCGUAGGCGGCCAACUAAGUCAUACGUGAAAUCCCUCGGCUUAACCGGGGAACUGCGUCUGAUACUGGAUGGCUUGAGUUCGGGAGAGGGAUGCGGAAUUCCAGGUGUAGCGGUGAAAUGCGUAGAUAUCAGGAGGAAUACCGGUGGCGAAAGCGACUCUCUGGACGGCAACUGACGCUGAGGCACGAAAGCGUGGGGAGCAAACAGG
This 254-nucleotide ribosomal RNA is filed under the name uncultured bacterium. Its description in RNAcentral is "partial 16S ribosomal RNA". It matches the Rfam family "Bacterial small subunit ribosomal RNA", at positions 524 to 776 of the family's 1533-position model. The record is from RNAcentral.